RNAcentral lists this ribosomal RNA (490 nucleotides) under uncultured archaeon. Its description in RNAcentral is "partial 16S ribosomal RNA". RNAcentral also lists the same sequence under 1 other name. The record is from RNAcentral.
UUUAUACGGGGCGCAGCCCGCGCGAAACUUUUCUAUAUCCGCAAAAGUGUUAAUGGGGAGACUCCCAGUUCGCACCUAGCACCUAAGCUUUAUCCUAUCCAUAAAACAGUUAUUAACAAGAGCGUGGGUAAGAAUGGUGCCAGCCGCCGCGGUAACACCAGCAACCCAAGUGGGGGCCGUUUUUAUUGGGUCUAAAGCUUCCUAGCCGCUGCGUAUGUUCCCGGGAAAUGUGGCGGCUCAACAGGAAGGGGGGCCGGGAAGAGGUUAGGCUUGGGACCGGGAGGCGCGAGAGGUAUGUCAGGGGUAGCGGUGAAAUCCUGAAUCCCGGGGGGGGGGGGCGGGGGGGGGGGGGGGGGGGGGGGGGGGGGGGGGGGGGGGGGGGGGGGGGGGGGGGGGGGGGGGGGGGGGGGGUGUCCCGCGCGUGUGAGGUGUGCGGGGGGCGCGCGAGCGCAGGGAUAACCCCGAGCGCACCGAGACUCGCGUGCGCGCG